UUUUUUUCUUUAUGCUCCCUCCCUCCCUCGAGACCCUGUUGACCAACUGAGAGGGCUUGAUCAGUUACUAUAAGUAUUAUAAGCAAAGUCACCAACUUAGUUAUAUAUCAUAAUUCACUCAGGUGGAGAAUGAAAACACUUUCAUAUUAACACGCUGUAUUCUUUAAAGACAGACCUAAAGACUGUUUCAACUCAGAGGCUACACUGAACUUGACUCUUCUGUCAAAAAGAAAAAAAAAGUCUUUUCUUUAAAAGGUAGAAAAAUAAAAGAAUAAAUAAAUAUAAAUGUUAGGCAUGGCAUAUAGUGGAAUCAUCAACACAUUUCAGGGCAGUCACACAUGAAAUCCUUGUCUAUGGGAGGAAAUUCACAAGACCGUAAGACAAAUAUCUUUAAAAGCAGGAUACCGCCGGGUGUUGGUGGCGCAUGCCUUUAAUCCCAGCACUUGGGAGGCCAGCCUGGUCUACAAAGUGAGUUCCAGGACAGCCAGGGCUAUACAGAGAAACCCUGUCUCGAAAAACAAAGAAAAAAAAAAGCAGAAUACCAUCAAACAUUGUUGAUGGUGCCAAAUUAUGUCCUUUAACACACACAGCUACAGAACCAGCUAUUUGGAGCCUAUUUUAACAAUUCUAUGCAUCUUGCUGGAUACAGUGUCUUAGGGUUUUAUUGAAUAAUAAGACACUAUGUCCAUGGCAACUCUUUUUUUUUUUUCUUCCAGUUCUCCUGAAACUGGAGUUACAGACAGUUAUGAGCUGCCAGGUGAGUAUGAGAGUACUCUUAACUGCUAUGCCAUCUCUACAGCCCUCACAGCAACUCUUACAAAGGAAACCAUUUCAUUGGAACUGCCUUGAACAGUUCAGUGGUUUAGUUACCAUAAUGGCAGGAAGUAUGGUGGCACACAGGCAGAUGUGGUGCUGGAGAGGUAGCUGAGAGUUCUACAUCUGAAUCAUCACGCAGCAGGAAGAGAGAAUAAGCCACUAGGCCUGGCUUGAACUUCUGGAACCUCAAAGCCCACCCACAGUGAUAUACUUCCUCCAAAAAGGCCACACCUCUGACGGUGUUGCUCCCUGUGAACCUAUGGGAGCCAUUUUCAUUCAAACCACCAAAAGCAGUAAAGACUGAAGACGAUUAAUUCUGUUGACCUCUGUUCAUUACUUGACCUGUUGACCUCUAUUUGUCACUUUACCUACUGACUUUUGUUCGAUAGGU
RNAcentral lists this long non-coding RNA (1207 nucleotides) under Mus musculus (house mouse). Its description in RNAcentral is "long non-coding RNA chr3:40486564-40487771". Lineage: Eukaryota; Metazoa; Chordata; Mammalia; Rodentia; Muridae. The record is from RNAcentral.